RNAcentral lists this ribosomal RNA (580 nucleotides) under uncultured rumen bacterium. RNAcentral's name for it is "bacterial SSU rRNA". It matches the Rfam family "Bacterial small subunit ribosomal RNA", at positions 190 to 769 of the family's 1533-position model. The record is from RNAcentral.
UGGCAUUAAGGUAAAAGGAGCGAUCCGGCACGGGAUGGGCAUGCGGCGCAUUAGCUAGUCGGCGGGGUAACGGCCCACCGAGGCGACGAUGCGUAGGGGUUCUGAGAGGAAGGUCCCCCACACUGGUACUGAGACACGGACCAGACUCCUACGGGAGGCAGCAGUGAGGAAUAUUGGUCAAUGGACGCGAGUCUGAACCAGCCAAGUCGCGUGAGGGAAGACGGCCCUACGGGUUGUAAACCUCUUUUGCGGGGGAGUAAAGUGAGCCACGUGUGGUUCAUUGCGAGUACCCCGAGAAAAAGCAUCGGCUAAUUCCGUGCCAGCAGCCGCGGUAAUACGGAAGAUGCGAGCGUUAUCCGGAUUUAUUGGGUUUAAAGGGUGCGCAGGCGGCAUGUCAAGUCAGCGGUCAAAGUUCUGGGCUCAACCCAGUGAUGCCGUUGAAACUGGCGCGCUUGAGUUCGUGGGAGGAAGGCGGAAUGCGCGGUGUAGCGGUGAAAUGCAUAGAUAUCACGCAGAACCCCGAUUGCGGAGGCAGCCUUCCAUCACGUCACUGACGCUGAGGCACGAAAGCGUGGGUAUC